AGAGUUUGAUCCUGGCUCAGGAUGAACGCUGGCGGCGUGCCUAACACAUGCAAGUCGAGCGAUCUUCUUCGGAAGAGAGCGGCGGACGGGUGAGUAACGCGUGGGUAACCUGCCUCAUACACAUGGAUAACAUACCGAAAGGUAUGCUAAUACAAGAUGAUAUAAGAGAUUCGCAUGGAUUUCUUAUCAAAGCUCCGGCGGUAUGAGAUGGACCCGCGUCUGAUUAGCUAGUUGGUAAGGUAACGGCUUACCAAGGCGACGAUCAGUAGCCGACCUGAGAGGGUGAUCGGCCACAUUGGAACUGAGACACGGUCCAAACUCCUACGGGAGGCGGCAGUGGGGAAUAUUGCACAAUGGGCGAAAGCCUGAUGCAGCAACGCCGCGUGAGCGAUGAAGGCCUUCGGGUCGUAAAGCUCUGUCCUCAAGGAGGAUAAUGACGGUACUUGAGGAGGAAGCCCCGGCUAACUACGUGCCAGCAGCCGCGGUAAUACGUAGGGGGCUAGCGUUAUCCGGAUUUACUGGGCGUAAAGGGUGCGUAGGUGGUUUCUUAAGUCAGGAGUGAAAGGCUACGGCUCAACCGUAGUAAGCUCUUGAAACUGGGAAACUUGAGUGCAGGAGAGGAAAGUGGAAUUCCUAGUGUAGCGGUGAAAUGCGUAGAUAUUAGGAGGAACACCAGUAGCGAAGGCGGCUUUCUGGACUGUAACUGACACUGAGGCACGAAAGCGUGGGGAGCAAACAGGAUUAGAUACCCUGGUAGUCCACGCCGUAAACGAUGAGUACUAGGUGUCGGGGGUUACCCCCCUCGGUGCCGCAGCUAACGCAUUAAGUACUCCGCCUGGGGAGUACGCUCGCAGGAGUGAAACUCAAAUGAAUUGACGG
This 879-nucleotide ribosomal RNA is filed under the name uncultured bacterium. RNAcentral's name for it is "bacterial SSU rRNA". It matches the Rfam family "Bacterial small subunit ribosomal RNA", at positions 8 to 916 of the family's 1533-position model. The record is from RNAcentral.